RNAcentral lists this ribosomal RNA (302 nucleotides) under uncultured bacterium. RNAcentral's name for it is "partial 16S ribosomal RNA". It matches the Rfam family "Bacterial small subunit ribosomal RNA", at positions 508 to 808 of the family's 1533-position model. The record is from RNAcentral.
GCAGUGCCACGGUAAUACGUAGGUGGCAAGCGUUGUCCGGAAUUAUUGGGCGUAAAGGGCUCGCAGGCGGUUUCUUAAGUCUGAUGUGAAGGCCCCCGGCUCAACCGGGGAGGGUCAUUGGAAACUGGGAAACUUGAGUGCAGAAGAGGAGAGUAGAAUUCCACGUGUAGCGGUGAAAUGCGUAGAGAUGUGGAGGAACACCAGUGGCGAAGGCGACUCUCUGGUCUGUAACUGACGCUGAGGAGCGAAAGCGUGGGGAGCGAACAGGAUUAGAUACCCCCGUAGUCCCUGUCUCUUAUACA